RNAcentral lists this ribosomal RNA (300 nucleotides) under uncultured bacterium. RNAcentral's name for it is "bacterial SSU rRNA". It matches the Rfam family "Bacterial small subunit ribosomal RNA", at positions 1030 to 1345 of the family's 1533-position model. The record is from RNAcentral.
AGGGACAGGUGGUGCAUGGUUGUCGUCAGCUCGUGUCGUGAGAUGUUGGGUUAAGUCCCGCAACGAGCGCAACCCUUGAUCUUAGUUGCCAGCAUUCAGUUGGGCACUCUAAGGUGACUGCCGGUGACAAACCGGAGGAAGGUGGGGAUGACGUCAAAUCAUCAUGCCCCUUAUGACCUGGGCUACACACGUGCUACAAUGGACAGAACAAAGGAGGUUAAGCCAAUCCCACAAAUCUGUUCUCAGUUCGGAUCGCAGUCUGCAACUCGACUGCGUGAAGCUGGAAUCGCUAGUAAUCGC